GAUGAACGCUGGCGGCGUGCUUAACACAUGCAAGUCGAACGGAAACGCCCAAUCUUGUUUGGGUCCUCGAGUGGCGAACGGGUGAGUAACACGUGGGUGAUCUGCCCUGCACUUCGGGAUACGCCUGGGAAACUGGGUCUAUUCCCGGAUAGGACUACUUCUUGGUUGUUGUGGUGGGCAGUUUUCUCGGUGUGGGGUGAGCUCGCGGCCUAUCAGCUUGUUGGUGGGGUACUGGCCUACCAAGGCGUCGAGAUGUAGCCGGCAUGAGGGGGGGUACGGCCACAUGUGGACAGAGAAACGGGGCAGAGUCCUACGGGGGGCAGGAAGGGGGAAUAUUGCACAAUGGGCGCAGGCGUGAGGCAGCGACGCCGCGUGGGGGGUGACGGCCUUAGGGGUGUAAACUCCUGUCGCUAGGGACGAAGCGUGUUUGUGACGGUACCUGGAGAAGAAGCACCGGCUAACUACGUG
This 468-nucleotide ribosomal RNA is filed under the name uncultured bacterium. RNAcentral describes it as "partial 16S ribosomal RNA". It matches the Rfam family "Bacterial small subunit ribosomal RNA", at positions 28 to 507 of the family's 1533-position model. The record is from RNAcentral.